UUAGGGAUAAGGGGUGCCACCAUCAGGUGGCCGCAGAGAAUAGGCCCAAGCGACUGUUUACCAAAAACAUAGGUUUCUGCUAAGUCGCAAGACGAUGUAUAGGAGCUGACGCCUGCCCGGUGCUGGACGGUUAAGGGGAUCUGUUAGAGCAAUCGAAGCAGUGAACUUAAGCCCCAGUAAACGGCGGCCGUAACUAUAACGGUCCUAAGGUAGCGAAAUUCCUUGUCGGGUAAGUUCCGACCCGCACGAAAGGCGUAACGAUUUGGGCACUGUCUCA
This 277-nucleotide ribosomal RNA is filed under the name Clostridioides difficile. RNAcentral describes it as "partial 23S ribosomal RNA". It matches the Rfam family "Bacterial large subunit ribosomal RNA", at positions 1735 to 2023 of the family's 2925-position model. Lineage: Bacteria; Bacillati; Bacillota; Clostridia; Peptostreptococcales; Peptostreptococcaceae. The record is from RNAcentral.